Molecule: long non-coding RNA, 1427 nt
Filed under: Struthio camelus australis
Lineage: Eukaryota; Metazoa; Chordata; Aves; Struthioniformes; Struthionidae
Description: lncRNA (ENSSCUG00000018459.1)
Source: RNAcentral
CCGAGGCCGGAGCAGUGUCUCCGUCUGCUGUGUGAUGGCACCAGUAUCGGAAAAUGUGUUCUUCAUGAGGCGAGACAGCGCAGAGAGGAAGAUGCUGGGUUUCCUUGGCUACCUUUCAUCUGCCUCAGAAAUUAUGAUUUUCCUCGAUUAGCUGGUUCCAUCAGUUAUUGCCAGUAAAAUGCCGUAUCUUCGGCCCUGCCGAUGGCUUGCGUUGCAGACGGGCCAUCUCGCUGCGAGGAGAGGGAACGGCCCCUGCUCUCGGGGCUCCUGCUUUCCUUCUCCACCCCACUGCCACCCCGCUCAUGGCUUUACGCGGUGCCGGAGCAUUUCUGGCUAUGUCAUAUGACCCUGGUCUUCCACCUCUUCCAAAAGGAGUGAUUAUUUUGCAUUCGGUCUCUUACUAGCUGGGAUCCUAAAUUACCUGGCAGGCCCCACUUGCCUUCUGAAGUCUUCUCGCUUUGGAUGUGAAAAUCGUGAACAUGAAAUCACGCUUUCAGGAUCUGCCACGAGGAGCAAAGGCAAACUCUCCUCCAGCAUCAUCGGUGUGGCUUUUAAGGGGAAAAGCAAGGGAGGAUGCAGUAAGACAGGUCCCGAUGACACACCUGGAGGUAAUGCAGUGAUACUAUUGCCUGCGUUGGAAUGUAAAGCCUGCAGGUGGAGAAUCCUCCGGUCUGCUGAAAAGUGCUUCUCAAAGGGUCGGGGUCUGCACGGUCAAAAUUCUUCACCAUUUGGAGAGGUGGAAGCAAGCACUGGAUUUUGUAUGCGCUCUACCAAUGCCAAUUAGCUCCUUUUUUCUCUACUGGCAAUCUUGUGAAAAUCGAUCUCUGUCUAAAAAGAUUGUUCCUAUAGUUGCUAUCAGCUCCUGCCAUAUUUCAAGCGAAUGAAAGGUAUUUACCUCACUGGGAUUGACGUUGUUUUCCGCUGGUCACACUGUCCCUCCUAGACACUGUGUAUGGCAUGGUCCACGCUCAAGUCUAAAUGUUCCAGCCCGUUGCUCUAAAUAACUCCUUGGUUCCUCAUCAGUUUGGCUCCAGGGGUUCUCACACCCUCUUUAUUUCUGCAGACAACUAAAAAAAGGUGCCGGUGUGUGGACAAAGUUGCCGGAUUGUCCAGUGCUUCCCAGCACAAUCACUGUUGACAUUGGAAUUUAAAAACACGAUUAUUUAUAAACAACACGCAAAUGUAGCCAUUUUCUAAAUAUUUGUUUCACAACAGUUGCUGACGAAUCAACAUUUCCCAUCCUUCCCCUUCCAGUAAGUGUCUUAUCUAAGGACAUGCUGCCCUUCCUGCUGGAAAUCCGGCCUUGUCUUUGGAGACCUUGUCUUCGGAGACCUUGUCUUCUCCCUUCCCCUCCCAGGAUCCACCAAGAGGGGAGGAAAAACUACCAAGAAUGAUUUUCACAAGCUAUAUCGCUUCCCAUGAUGCAG